UUCAUUCGCGUUUCGACGUAGGCACGGGACGGGGUCUCGGUCGAGCGACGAAACACGUUCUUCGGAGCGAGUUUCGCGCGCCCUCCCCCUCGUCCUUUGAACCGGCGACGAACGCGUGCACUUUUCUCCUGGUAGGACGUCGCGAUCCGUCGGGUGUCGGUCUACGACUUGCGGUGGAGUCCGUCCGUCGUCUCGUACGUUACGGACGGACCCGCUCGUUCCGGCCGGCUCGCUCGACGGUAUACGUAUACACGGUCGAAGGCCGCUCGUUAAGGAGCGUUCGACUCGUCGCAAGCGCGCCACGUGCGUCGGCACGCGGACCCAGUGCCGCGUCCGACCUCUGGUGACUGUUGGCGACGAAGUUCUCGGACAGACCUUUGUUUUUUUUUUCUUCGGAAAAAGGAAAUGACCGAUCGGCGACGCUAUAGCUUUGGGUACUUUCAGGACCCGUCUUGAAACACGGACCAAGGAGUCUAGCAUGUACGCGAGUCAUUGGGAAUAUUACUAAACCUAAAGGCGUAAUGAAAGUGAAGGUCUUCCUCGCGAAGACCGAGGGAAGACGGACGGUCGAUCCUAGACCGUCCUGCAUUCCCGGGGCGUCUCGUUCACAUUGCGUGAAGAGGCGCACCAAGAGCGUACACGCUGGGACCCGAAAGAUGGUGAACUAUGCCUGGUCAGGACGAAGUCAGGGGAAACCCUGAUGGAGGUCCG
This 711-nucleotide ribosomal RNA is filed under the name Xylosandrus monteithi. RNAcentral's name for it is "eukaryotic LSU rRNA". The stretch from base 335 to 711 matches the Rfam family "Eukaryotic large subunit ribosomal RNA", at positions 1 to 877 of the family's 3401-position model. Lineage: Eukaryota; Metazoa; Arthropoda; Insecta; Coleoptera; Curculionidae. The record is from RNAcentral.